Long non-coding RNA from Dermochelys coriacea (leatherback sea turtle), 169 nucleotides. RefSeq lists it as uncharacterized. The transcript is spliced from 3 exons. The record is from RefSeq and is a predicted model, not a curated record. Lineage: Eukaryota; Metazoa; Chordata; Testudines; Dermochelyidae.
CUGGAUCCGGAUCCAAACUUCCCCAGUGUUGGGAUGGUGUGUGUAUGGGGAAGGGUGGAGUAAGGGAUCUCUCAUCUCUUCCCCCGCCCCCAGGGACUGGAUCCCUACACAGAUUUAGUUUGGGGUGAGGGAUAGCUCAGUGGUUUGAGCAUUGGUCUGCUAAACCCAG